Seriola dumerili (greater amberjack) is the source of this 405-nucleotide long non-coding RNA. RefSeq lists it as uncharacterized. Lineage: Eukaryota; Metazoa; Chordata; Actinopteri; Carangiformes; Carangidae. The transcript is spliced from 3 exons. The record is from RefSeq and is a predicted model, not a curated record.
CGUGAACCAGGCCGUUGAUCAGGAAGGUGUGCUGAGGAAACGUCUCAUGGAGGACCUGAAACCCCAACAACAGAAGACGAAGAAGAUGACGCAGACUGUGAUACAGCAGCACCCAGACCUGCAGAGUCCGGCUGCUGAAGGACAAACGGAGGAGGACAGAACAGGACAGACUGUCCUCUGACUGAGGCUCCACGCUGUUCACUGACAGCAGCAGGAGACACACUGAGCCACACAGUCUCCUGUGGACGUGUGAAGCAACAGUCUCCUGCUGUAUUCAGACUCACAUCACAACCAUGAUGAGCAGUGGUGCAUGUUUAUGACAGAAUCCUUCUGCAGGUACAAUGAAGCUUUAAUAGUUAUUUAUUCACUGCGAUUAACUGUUCAGAGUGACACGUGGAAAACAUG